RNAcentral lists this long non-coding RNA (6726 nucleotides) under Homo sapiens (human). Lineage: Eukaryota; Metazoa; Chordata; Mammalia; Primates; Hominidae. The record is from RNAcentral.
AGGCAUUGAGGCAGCCAGCGCAGGGGCUUCUGCUGAGGGGGCAGGCGGAGCUUGAGGAAACCGCAGAUAAGUUUUUUUCUCUUUGAAAGAUAGAGAUUAAUACAACUACUUAAAAAAUAUAGUCAAUAGGUUACUAAGAUAUUGCUUAGCGUUAAGUUUUUAACGUAAUUUUAAUAGCUUAAGAUUUUAAGAGAAAAUAUGAAGACUUAGAAGAGUAGCAUGAGGAAGGAAAAGAUAAAAGGUUUCUAAAACAUGACGGAGGUUGAGAUGAAGCUUCUUCAUGGAGUAAAAAAUGUAUUUAAAAGAAAAUUGAGAGAAAGGACUACAGAGCCCCGAAUUAAUACCAAUAGAAGGGCAAUGCUUUUAGAUUAAAAUGAAGGUGACUUAAACAGCUUAAAGUUUAGUUUAAAAGUUGUAGGUGAUUAAAAGACCUUGAAAUCCAUGACGCAGGGAGAAUUGCGUCAUUUAAAGCCUAGUUAACGCAUUUACUAAACGCAGACGAAAAUGGAAAGAUUAAUUGGGAGUGGUAGGAUGAAACAAUUUGGAGAAGAUAGAAGUUUGAAGUGGAAAACUGGAAGACAGAACUGGGGGAAGUUAAAUAUGAGCCACUGGGUGUACCAGUGCAUUAAUUUGGGCAAGGAAAGUGUCAUAAUUUGAUACUGUAUCUGUUUUCCUUCAAAGUAUAGAGCUUUUGGGGAAGGAAAGUAUUGAACUGGGGGUUGGUCUGGCCUACUGGGCUGACAUUAACUACAAUUAUGGGAAAUGCAAAAGUUGUUUGGAUAUGGUAGUGUGUGGUUCUCUUUUGGAAUUUUUUUCAGGUGAUUUAAUAAUAAUUUAAAACUACUAUAGAAACUGCAGAGCAAAGGAAGUGGCUUAAUGAUCCUGAAGGGAUUUCUUCUGAUGGUAGCUUUUGUAUUAUCAAACUUUUUUCAGAUAACAUCUUCUGAGUCAUAACCAGCCUGGCAGUAUGAUGGCCUAGAUGCAGAGAAAACAGCUCCUUGGUGAAUUGAUAAGUAAAGGCAGAAAAGAUUAUAUGUCAUACCUCCAUUGGGGAAUAAGCAUAACCCUGAGAUUCUUACUACUGAUGAGAACAUUAUCUGCAUAUGCCAAAAAAUUUUAAGCAAAUGAAAGCUACCAAUUUAAAGUUACGGAAUCUACCAUUUUAAAGUUAAUUGCUUGUCAAGCUAUAACCACAAAAAUAAUGAAUUGAUGAGAAAUACAAUGAAGAGGCAAUGUCCAUCUCAAAAUACUGCUUUUACAAAAGCAGAAUAAAAGCGAAAAGAAAUGAAAAUGUUACACUACAUUAAUCCUGGAAUAAAAGAAGCCGAAAUAAAUGAGAGAUGAGUUGGGAUCAAGUGGAUUGAGGAGGCUGUGCUGUGUGCCAAUGUUUCGUUUGCCUCAGACAGGUAUCUCUUCGUUAUCAGAAGAGUUGCUUCAUUUCAUCUGGGAGCAGAAAACAGCAGGCAGCUGUUAACAGAUAAGUUUAACUUGCAUCUGCAGUAUUGCAUGUUAGGGAUAAGUGCUUAUUUUUAAGAGCUGUGGAGUUCUUAAAUAUCAACCAUGGCACUUUCUCCUGACCCCUUCCCUAGGGGAUUUCAGGAUUGAGAAAUUUUUCCAUCGAGCCUUUUUAAAAUUGUAGGACUUGUUCCUGUGGGCUUCAGUGAUGGGAUAGUACACUUCACUCAGAGGCAUUUGCAUCUUUAAAUAAUUUCUUAAAAGCCUCUAAAGUGAUCAGUGCCUUGAUGCCAACUAAGGAAAUUUGUUUAGCAUUGAAUCUCUGAAGGCUCUAUGAAAGGAAUAGCAUGAUGUGCUGUUAGAAUCAGAUGUUACUGCUAAAAUUUACAUGUUGUGAUGUAAAUUGUGUAGAAAACCAUUAAAUCAUUCAAAAUAAUAAACUAUUUUUAUUAGAGAAUGUAUACUUUUAGAAAGCUGUCUCCUUAUUUAAAUAAAAUAGUGUUUGUCUGUAGUUCAGUGUUGGGGCAAUCUUGGGGGGGAUUCUUCUCUAAUCUUUCAGAAACUUUGUCUGCGAACACUCUUUAAUGGACCAGAUCAGGAUUUGAGCGGAAGAACGAAUGUAACUUUAAGGCAGGAAAGACAAAUUUUAUUCUUCAUAAAGUGAUGAGCAUAUAAUAAUUCCAGGCACAUGGCAAUAGAGGCCCUCUAAAUAAGGAAUAAAUAACCUCUUAGACAGGUGGGAGAUUAUGAUCAGAGUAAAAGGUAAUUACACAUUUUAUUUCCAGAAAGUCAGGGGUCUAUAAAUUGACAGUGAUUAGAGUAAUACUUUUUCACAUUUCCAAAGUUUGCAUGUUAACUUUAAAUGCUUACAAUCUUAGAGUGGUAGGCAAUGUUUUACACUAUUGACCUUAUAUAGGGAAGGGAGGGGGUGCCUGUGGGGUUUUAAAGAAUUUUCCUUUGCAGAGGCAUUUCAUCCUUCAUGAAGCCAUUCAGGAUUUUGAAUUGCAUAUGAGUGCUUGGCUCUUCCUUCUGUUCUAGUGAGUGUAUGAGACCUUGCAGUGAGUUUAUCAGCAUACUCAAAAUUUUUUUCCUGGAAUUUGGAGGGAUGGGAGGAGGGGGUGGGGCUUACUUGUUGUAGCUUUUUUUUUUUUUACAGACUUCACAGAGAAUGCAGUUGUCUUGACUUCAGGUCUGUCUGUUCUGUUGGCAAGUAAAUGCAGUACUGUUCUGAUCCCGCUGCUAUUAGAAUGCAUUGUGAAACGACUGGAGUAUGAUUAAAAGUUGUGUUCCCCAAUGCUUGGAGUAGUGAUUGUUGAAGGAAAAAAUCCAGCUGAGUGAUAAAGGCUGAGUGUUGAGGAAAUUUCUGCAGUUUUAAGCAGUCGUAUUUGUGAUUGAAGCUGAGUACAUUUUGCUGGUGUAUUUUUAGGUAAAAUGCUUUUUGUUCAUUUCUGGUGGUGGGAGGGGACUGAAGCCUUUAGUCUUUUCCAGAUGCAACCUUAAAAUCAGUGACAAGAAACAUUCCAAACAAGCAACAGUCUUCAAGAAAUUAAACUGGCAAGUGGAAAUGUUUAAACAGUUCAGUGAUCUUUAGUGCAUUGUUUAUGUGUGGGUUUCUCUCUCCCCUCCCUUGGUCUUAAUUCUUACAUGCAGGAACACUCAGCAGACACACGUAUGCGAAGGGCCAGAGAAGCCAGACCCAGUAAGAAAAAAUAGCCUAUUUACUUUAAAUAAACCAAACAUUCCAUUUUAAAUGUGGGGAUUGGGAACCACUAGUUCUUUCAGAUGGUAUUCUUCAGACUAUAGAAGGAGCUUCCAGUUGAAUUCACCAGUGGACAAAAUGAGGAAAACAGGUGAACAAGCUUUUUCUGUAUUUACAUACAAAGUCAGAUCAGUUAUGGGACAAUAGUAUUGAAUAGAUUUCAGCUUUAUGCUGGAGUAACUGGCAUGUGAGCAAACUGUGUGGGCGCUAAGCCUUUUUUUAAGAUUUUUCAGGUACCCCUCACUAAAGGCACCGAAGGCUUAAAGUAGGACAACCAUGGAGCCUUCCUGUGGCAGGAGAGACAACAAAGCGCUAUUAUCCUAAGGUCAAGAGAAGUGUCAGCCUCACCUGAUUUUUAUUAGUAAUGAGGACUUGCCUCAACUCCCUCUUUCUGGAGUGAAGCAUCCGAAGGAAUGCUUGAAGUACCCCUGGGCUUCUCUUAACAUUUAAGCAAGCUGUUUUUAUAGCAGCUCUUAAUAAUAAAGCCCAAAUCUCAAGCGGUGCUUGAAGGGGAGGGAAAGGGGGAAAGCGGGCAACCACUUUUCCCUAGCUUUUCCAGAAGCCUGUUAAAAGCAAGGUCUCCCCACAAGCAACUUCUCUGCCACAUCGCCACCCCGUGCCUUUUGAUCUAGCACAGACCCUUCACCCCUCACCUCGAUGCAGCCAGUAGCUUGGAUCCUUGUGGGCAUGAUCCAUAAUCGGUUUCAAGGUAACGAUGGUGUCGAGGUCUUUGGUGGGUUGAACUAUGUUAGAAAAGGCCAUUAAUUUGCCUGCAAAUUGUUAACAGAAGGGUAUUAAAACCACAGCUAAGUAGCUCUAUUAUAAUACUUAUCCAGUGACUAAAACCAACUUAAACCAGUAAGUGGAGAAAUAACAUGUUCAAGAACUGUAAUGCUGGGUGGGAACAUGUAACUUGUAGACUGGAGAAGAUAGGCAUUUGAGUGGCUGAGAGGGCUUUUGGGUGGGAAUGCAAAAAUUCUCUGCUAAGACUUUUUCAGGUGAACAUAACAGACUUGGCCAAGCUAGCAUCUUAGCGGAAGCUGAUCUCCAAUGCUCUUCAGUAGGGUCAUGAAGGUUUUUCUUUUCCUGAGAAAACAACACGUAUUGUUUUCUCAGGUUUUGCUUUUUGGCCUUUUUCUAGCUUAAAAAAAAAAAAAGCAAAAGAUGCUGGUGGUUGGCACUCCUGGUUUCCAGGACGGGGUUCAAAUCCCUGCGGCGUCUUUGCUUUGACUACUAAUCUGUCUUCAGGACUCUUUCUGUAUUUCUCCUUUUCUCUGCAGGUGCUAGUUCUUGGAGUUUUGGGGAGGUGGGAGGUAACAGCACAAUAUCUUUGAACUAUAUACAUCCUUGAUGUAUAAUUUGUCAGGAGCUUGACUUGAUUGUAUAUUCAUAUUUACACGAGAACCUAAUAUAACUGCCUUGUCUUUUUCAGGUAAUAGCCUGCAGCUGGUGUUUUGAGAAGCCCUACUGCUGAAAACUUAACAAUUUUGUGUAAUAAAAAUGGAGAAGCUCUAAAUUGUUGUGGUUCUUUUGUGAAUAAAAAAAUCUUGAUUGGGGAAAAAAGAUGGGUGUUCUGUGGGCUUGUUCUGUUAAAUCUGUGGUCUAUAAACACAGCACCCAUAAUUACAGCAUAAUCUUCAAGUAGGGUACGGACUUUGGGGGAUUGGUGCGAGGGUAGUGGGUGAGUGGCCUACUAAAAAGCCCAGUAACCCCCACAGGAAAAUAGGGAACUUCUUUUUAAGUAGCCUCCUUUCCACUAUUUAGUAAUUGGCUGUGAGCUGGGCUGGGGGAGAAAUGGGGCGGGGUGUGUGUGUCAUUGGAAAGCUCUCUUUUUUGUUUUUUUGAGACAGUCUCACUUUGUCCCCCAGGCUGGAGUGUAGUGGCAUGAUCUCUGCAAACUGCAACCUCCACUUCUGGGGUCCAAGUGGUUGUCCUGCUUCACCCUCCCUGUAGCUGGGACUACAGGUGCACACCACCACGCCUGGCUAAUUUUUGUAUUUUCAGUUAGAGACGUGGUUUUACCAUAUUGGCCAGGCUGGUCUCAAACUCCUGACCUCGUGUGAUCCACCCGCCUGGGCCUCUGAAAGUGCUGGGAUUACAGGUGUGAGCCACCAAGCCUGGCCGAUCCUUUUAAGUUUUUAAACCAGUUAAGCUCUUUGGUUCCCCCUCAGAGUCCCAAGGUCCUGGGUCACUCAGGAUCACAUUUUCCUUUAAUCAGUUGUCACUGGUCCCCUUUUGUCCCUUUGAACGUGCUGUGGGAUUAGUAGCAGCAUCUGGCUGUUGGAAGGACUGGCUGGGAUCUCAGGUGAAAUACCCUCCCUGGCCCUCCUUACCCUUAAGAUCUCCCUGAAAAGUCAGACCUUGCUUAUUGGAGUUUGAGAUGCAUUCUAGUAAACCCAGACCUACCAGAGAGAGGGACCCACGUCUGAAGAAUCUUCCAGCCUGGGGAACCUGUGACUGGCCACACCCUUAGCCUAAUGGAGGGGCCUCAGAAGCAGAACUACCUUUUUUUUUUUUUUUAAUGGUAUUACAUUUUGCAAAUGGAGAGGUAGACUCUGAUUGGGCCCCUUUUGACAACGCAGCAGAGCUGAGGUUUGAAUCCUAGUCAGUCAACACUUCAACCCCUAUGUUGCUGUUUCUUCAAUGUCUAGAAUGUUCUGAUAGAUGAAGCAAUGGCCCGGCAGGUCAGCAGCACACCAACCCCCAACCUACCCAGCCUGUAUAGGCCUUGGCCACAGGAGCUUUCUCUUCCCUUGAAGUGAUCUAAUGGGGGAUGGGGUAUCUGUCUCGCUGGUUAUGAAAGAAGCUGAGCUAGGUGCUCUCCUAAGUUGCUUAAGUGUCUUCUGAAUUGAUGCCCAGUCAGUUUCGUAUGGAGAAAGGUCUCUGUUUUUCCAAAGCAGAAGGUUCUGUGGAAGCACAAAUACUUUACUGGAGAGCAAAGGAGUACGAGUAGGAAUUGGGGGCCACGCACAGUGGCUCACGCCUAUAAUCCCAGGACUUUGGGAGGCCGAGGUGGGCAGAUCACCUGAGGUCAGGAGUUCGAGACCAGCCUGACCAACAUGGAGAAACCCCAUCUCUACUAAAAAUACAAAAUUAGCCGGGCGUGGUGGCGUAUGUCUGUAACCCCAGCUAUUCGAGAGGCUGAGGUAGGAGAAUCGCUUGGACCCGGGAGGCGGAGGUUGCAGUGAGCUGAGAUUGCGCCACUGCACUCCAGCCUGGGCAACAAGAGCGAAACUGUCUCAAAAAAAAAAAAAAAAGAAGAAGAAAGGCUGGGCACGGUGGCUCAAGCCUGUAAUCCCAGCACUUUGGGAGGCCGAGGCGGGCGGAUCACGAAGUCAGGAGAUUGAAACCAUCCUGGCUAACACGGUGAAACCCCGUCUCUACUACACACACACACACACACACACACACACACACACACACACACACAAUUUGCUGGGCGUGGUGGAGGGCGCCUGUAGUCCUAGCUACUCGUGAGGCUGAGGCAGGAGAAUGGCGUGAACCUGGGAGGC